Molecule: RNA transcript, 3574 nt
Organism: Oncorhynchus tshawytscha (Chinook salmon)
Lineage: Eukaryota; Metazoa; Chordata; Actinopteri; Salmoniformes; Salmonidae
Gene name: zinc finger protein 771-like
Exons: 2
Source: RefSeq, a predicted model, not a curated record
GCUUCUUUCAACGUCAGACACCUCCGUAGCUUGCUAGGCAAAAUAGCCGAACCAAUAAAGCUCUUGAGACGCUUUCGUGUUUAUUAGCCACCGUGUUUUAAACCCAUUUCUGUCGUCUAGCUAGUUAUCAGAUUUAUUUUCAUAUUUACGGUGUUGUUAAUUAGUCAGCUAGCGGGCUGGUUAAGUUAGCAUUAGCCUAACUAGUUAACAUCCCCGACCAUGCGGUCACUAAGCUACUCUUCUUCUGCUAAAGAAGAGGAAGUCUACUGGACGGAGAAAGAAACUCCCGUGAAAGAGGAGGAGGAAGAAUAGGAGGCUGUUACAGUAAAAAAAGAAGUAGAGGUUGAGGCUGUUACCAUGAAAGAAAAAGGGAAAGACGUUACAGUGAAAGAAGAGGAAGACGCGUUAAGAGUGAAAGAGGAGGAGGAUGUUACAGUAAAAGAAGAGGAAGAUGCGUUCAGAGUGAAAGAGGAGGAGGGGGAGAUGACUGUUACAUCGAAAAAGGAGGAGGAAACUGGAUAUCUGGGCCCGGUUUCCCAAAGCCAUCUUAAGGCAUCCAAUGGUUCUAACAAUGAAUUUAGCCAUAAGAUGGUUUUGAGAAACCGUUCCCUGAUUAACACUAGAGAGAGAUGUGACUAUCGUGGAUCCUCUGGGGAGCCUCAACAACAACAUGAUGCUGAAGAGGCAGAAACAUGUCUCUCCAGAUCAGAACUCCUCAAGAGACACCAGCAGAAAUCCACAUGGAGGAAAUAUUACCACUGCUGCUCUGACUGUGGUAAAAGAUUCAACUAUUCAGUAGAACUUAAAAUACAUCAAAGACAUUACACAAGAGAGAAACCAUAUGGCUGUGCUCAAUGUGGGAGAAGUUUUGUUUAUCCUUGCCAUCUGACUGAACACCAGAGAACACACACAGGAGUGAAACCAUUUAGCUGUGAUCAAUGUGGGAAGAGUUUUGCUGAAUCUAGCCAUCUGACUGAACACCAGAGAACACACACAGGAGAGAAACCAUAUAGCUGUAAUCAAUGUGGGAAGAGUUUUUCUACUUCUAGCUAUCUAACUACACACCAGAGAACACACACAGGAGAGAAACCUUAUAGCUGUGAUCAAUGUGGACUGUGUGACCAGAGUUUUACUCGGUCACACAGCCUGACUAUACACAAGCGGGGACACACAGGGUAAGAGAUACUCUGAUUAAACAUAAAAUACAUGAAGGAGUUGUUUCAUGAUAUCAAUGAAAUAAUGUCACAAAGUAGAAUGUUUUAACAUUGUAGUAGGAGUGUUUUAAUGAUGUCACAAUGUAGAAUGUUUUAACAUUGUAGUAGGAGUAUUCUAAUGAUGUCACAAUGUAGAACCCUAAUUGUCUGUCCCCUGUUCCAUUGAUUUCAACAUUAUAUGGAUAUUAGCCUCAGGGGGAAAAUCCAAGCUCUGAAUUGGAAGAGUACUAUUCAUGAGAUUCAACAAAAAGUGACUAACAAAAAAAGUGUUGUGUUACACUUACCACGUUGGUGACCCACUUGAAUCAAAAUGCAACUCUUCAAUGUUUAUGUUUUCAAUUUAUCCAAAACUGUUUCUACAUAUUGGUUAUUGAUUUGGACACGUUAAAACUGUGUUUUGACAUUGGGCUAUUCCCAUUUAGCAAAAUGUAAUUGAAAAGAUGUUGAAUGUCUGAUAUCCAAUAUAUGUUCGGUUGUAGUUGAAAAGAUGUCUUUUCUGGUCGUUUUUUCAAUGACUUGAAGACAACUUCAUUUCAACGUACUUGCAGCCUAUACACAUGGAUGCAGUAUAAUGAAUUGGUCUAUAAUCAAUUUUUAUUAACAAUCCUACAUCACUCCAGCAUUUCUUUGGAACAUUCAAAUCCUAAUUGUCUUUAUUCCACUACUGAAGAAGUAUGUCUCAAAUCACCUCAUAUUUCAAACAUUCAGCCUGACAAAAGAUACAUGUUUUAUUAUUCCAUGCCUCACCAUUCAGUUAUUAUUGCCAAUACAUAUUAACAAAGGGGUGUACAUUUGGUUUUGAUAUUUCAUAUUUACAAUUCAUGUAACAUUUAGUAAUAAUUAUUUAUGCAACCAAAUGACAAUUUUGGGUACAAUUAUAUUGACACUGUUGCUCUGCUUUUAUAAUAUCAGGGUUCAUUCUCAGAUGUGCCAACCCAAAUGUACUAGAGCAUGACCUUGGGGACUGAGCCCAGAUCCAACAACAUGCCUAUCGAGUGAACCCUGAAAAGAGAGAGAAGCUCCGCAGUGAGGUGGAAAGUUACUACGGAUAUUGCAGGAGUUUCCUCUUGAAAUCAGACAUGUCCUUGGUGAGAACAACAGGGGUUGCUGAUUGUCUCAAGGGUGGGCAGUCAAAAUGUUUUCGUUUAGUCAGUGAGUUGCCAUGGAUCACAAUUUAUUUUUGACUGCAUGUUUUUCCGUUUUGGAGAUGAGUUUUGUUUGGGCUCGUUCCGAGGGUACGAGAGUUCUAGAAGCUAGUGAGUUUUAGGAAGACGAGAGUUCGAGAAGCUAGUGAGUUUUAGGAUUCUAUAGAAUGGAAAAUGAGAAAAGAUACGAUUGAAAAUGAAUAUUUAGAAAUAUUUUUUCUUGUUUUAAUAGCCAGUAGUUUUUAAUAGCCAGUAGUUUUUAAUAGCCAGUAGACACUAUGUUUAUAUUGGUGAAGUGGAAGCAUUGUAGUUGAUUAUAAUGUCAAAUGGAAUGUAAAAUUGUUUUCUGUUGGUGGUGAGCAAACUUGUCCAACAAAAAUAUUGGAUAUAUUUGUUGUCUUAAGGUGUUGGUAUUUGACUUUCAAUUUUUGUUUUGAGGUUGGACUUUAGCACGUUUCGCUCGUCAGCACGUUUCGCUCGUCAGCACGUAGGACGCACUGAUUGCUGUCAACUCGUUAGUCGGUAUGUGUUACACCUGUGCUGGCUUGUCCAUCUCGUUAGUGGUAAGGUGUUUCACCUGAGCUGGUCCAGGUUCUAUUUAAGAGUGUCUGGCCCAGUGCUCCAGUUGUCUUGAUAGAUGUGGAGAGUCAACACCUUCAGUUGCUCCACCUUUUUGGUUAUUUUGCUUCCUGUUUAUAAGUUUGAGGUGGUGGGACGGGUGCGCCAUCGUCCGUGAGGAGAUGGCGCAAAGUACAUCUGGACCGUCGGUUCCGGGAAUUGGACUGGCCAACACGGUGCGCUUUUCUUGGCGGGGAAAAGAGAUGGAGCCUUGGGGGAGAGAAACCUUCGGGAGGAACAUCCUAAUGGGGCACCUAAAAUUGAAGGUUAAAGAUGUGCUAUGCCUUCAGGGGAACCCAAUGGAGAAGGGGUUUGAUGUAACCCUAUAUUUGGAAGAAAAACACAAUGAGAUUAUGAAGACGGUGACGGAAGGGAAAGAAGAAGGUCCCCUGUGUCAUUACACGGUGACCAGCCUGGCAAGAAACAACUUCAGGGUGGUCACCGUAACCAUGUACAAUCCGCACGUGAAGGACGAAGAAGUGAGGGCCUUUCUGGGGAGGUACAUGGACAAUGUCUCCUCAGCGAGGUACCUCAGGGACUCCCUGGGUUUCUGGAACGGGAGGAGAGGCUUCCAGGCGUUACUCAGGGAGUCCCCGA